GCAGAUCCGAGAGCUGCGGGCGGUGGCUCGUGCGCGUCUCGGGCGCGCGCGAGAGUUGGCUGACGGCCAAAAGAGGCACGUUCAAAUCCUUGGCGAUCUGCU
RNAcentral lists this transfer RNA (102 nucleotides) under bacterium HR10. Its description in RNAcentral is "tRNA-Pro". The record is from RNAcentral.